AUUAUAACUAAUAUUAUAAUAUAAGAUUAACUAAUCUAACGCAUUAAGCAAGUUCUUUAAUCAAAUAAAUAUUAACCAACUAAUUUUAGAAAUGACACUCACUCUGUAAGAAUAAAUGAAGAUUUACAAUUUCUACUCAAAAAUGAAGUUUUAUGCGAUGUUAUAUUUGAAGCUGAUGAUGGUAAAAUUGUUAUUGGCAUAAAAAUGUUUUAAUAUAUUAAGCUAGUCCAUAUUUCCAUGCAAUGUUUAGUAAUUUUGAUGAAAAUUAUAUCUAUACUGAAGAAAUUAUGGCCACAAAAGAAAAUGACCAGGUGUUUUUACCAGCUGAAAAUAUCUUACAGGUAGAUUAUGUUAGCAGUGCAUGUGCUGAGUUUUUACGAAAACAACAGGAUAUAUCAAAUUGUAUUAAUAUCAAAGCAUUUGCUAACUUACAUAACUAUACGGGAUUGUUGUCAAGUUCUGAAGCAUUUAUUAAACAACAUUUUUCAGAAGUAGCUAAAGCCGAAGAUUUUCUAUUCUCAUCUUCUGGAGACUUGGUGAAGCUUAUUUCCUCUAAUGACUGCUGUUCCAUUUGAAGAAAAAGUAACCAAACUACAAAUUAUAAUUUUUAAUAUUUUGCAUGGAAAAUUAACUUAAAAAGUAGGAUUGUUUUAUGCUACUGGUCACAAUUUGAUUAUGGAGUACUUUUACAAUCAUAAACGGUCAUGUGAAUACAAAUAAGUCAAUUGACUGCCUCACCUCAACUAUGUCAAACUAUGUAAACAACUAGUAUACAUUACUAAAUUGUACAUUAUACAUUACUAAUUUUAAUUUGUACAAAAAUAUCUUAAUGGCUGUAA
This 839-nucleotide unclassified non-coding RNA is filed under the name Acyrthosiphon pisum (pea aphid). RNAcentral's name for it is "kelch-like protein 12-like". The record is from RNAcentral. Lineage: Eukaryota; Metazoa; Arthropoda; Insecta; Hemiptera; Aphididae.